AGCGAACGCUGGCGGCGUACUUAACACAUGCAAGUCGAACGGGGAUCGACACGUGAGCAAUCACGUGGCGGUCUUAGUGGCGUACGGGUGAGUAACACGUGGGCAACCUGCCCUUGAGUCUGGGAUAACCUCCCGAAAGGGAGGCUAAUACCGGAUACGGUCCUCGGGUCGCGAGAUCUGAGGAAGAAAGGUGGCGCAAGCUACCGCUCUUGGAGGGACUCGCGGCCUAUCAGCAGUUGGUGAGGUAACGGCUCACCAAGGCUAUGACGGGUAGCUGGUCUGAGAGGACGACCAGCCACACGGGGGACUGAGACAC
RNAcentral lists this ribosomal RNA (316 nucleotides) under uncultured bacterium. RNAcentral describes it as "bacterial SSU rRNA". It matches the Rfam family "Bacterial small subunit ribosomal RNA", at positions 29 to 327 of the family's 1533-position model. The record is from RNAcentral.